Molecule: ribosomal RNA, 451 nt
Filed under: uncultured bacterium
Lineage: Bacteria
Description: bacterial SSU rRNA
Rfam family: Bacterial small subunit ribosomal RNA
Source: RNAcentral
AGCCAGACUCCUACGGGAGGCAGCAGUGGGGAAUAUUGGGCAAUGGGCGCAAGCCUGACCCAGCAACGCCGCGUGAAGGAAGAAGGCUUUCGGGUUGUAAACUUCUUUUGUCAGGGACGAAGCAAGUGACGGUACCUGACGAAUAAGCCACGGCUAACUACGUGCCAGCAGCCGCGGUAAUACGUAGGUGGCAAGCGUUAUCCGGAUUUACUGGGUGUAAAGGGCGUGUAGGCGGGGAAGCAAGUCAGAUGUGAAAACCACGGGCUCAACCUGUGGCCUGCAUUUGAAACUGUCGUUCUUGAGUACUGGAGAGGUUGACGGAAUUCCUAGUGUAGCGGUGAAAUGCGUAGAUAUUAGGAGGAACACCAGUGGCGAAGGCGGUCAACUGGACAGCAACUGACGCUGAGGCGCGAAAGCGUGGGGAGCAAACAGGAUUAGAUACCCUGGUAUA